AUGGGAGGAACAAGUGUCAAUACUAUUUGGAGCAAGAUUUGGAAAUUAUCUUGUCCAGCAAAAGUGAAGAUCUUUAUUUGGCGUACCUUACAUGGAACCCUCCCAUGUCGUGUUACAUUUGCUAAUAGACAUAUGAAAGUUUCGCCCACCUGCCCAUCAUGUUCGAACGGGCAUGAAGAUACUAAACACUUAUUAUUUUUGUGUCAAAAGGCAAAAGAGGUGUGGGAGAAACUGGGAUUGCACGAAGCCAUUAAAAAAGCUUGCGUUGUCGAUCGUGCGGGAGAGGCAGUACUCGAAUUUCUACUUUUUAUGCCAGAACACGAGCUAUCUACAGUGGGCAUACAGAAUGUUCGCGAACUGAUCGCUAUAACAACCUGGUAUUUAUGGUGGGAAAGACGUUCGCUAGUCCAUCAUGGGAAGACCCAAGAUGCAUACCAAAUUUCGAUGGGAAUCCGUGCUAUAACAACAAACUAUGUUAUUGCCCAAUCCUCCAAGGCAACAAAUAGAAUAGAGGGAUGGACGAGACCCCCUCUAGGUUUUGUCAAAUUAAAUGUCGAUGCUUCUUUCGAUCAAGACAUGCUUAGAGGCACAGCGGGAGCUGUACUUAGAGAUGAUAAAGGAAGAUUUAUUGUUGGAGGGAAUUGGAAGAUGGAUUGGUGUGCAGAUGUCUUAACAGCGGAAGCUAUGGCACUACGUUUUGGCUUAUUACUUGCACAAAAGGCGGGAAGCAACCGACUUGUUGUUAACUCCGACAAUAUGGAAGUAAUUGACACGAUGAAGAAUGGAGGACAUAUAGCGGGAGCGGCGGCAGCUGUAUUUGAUGAUUGUUAUUUUAUGGCUUGUGAUUUUACGUUAGUUAGAUUUGAACAUUGUAAUAGAAAGGCAAAUAAAGUAGCUCAUGAAAUUGCCAAAGUAGCUAAAUUCUCUGAGACAAGGGAUUGGUUUGAGGAACCUUUGAACGAUAUUGUAAAUUUUCUUAUAGACGAUGUAACCAUUAUUACUAAUAAAAAGAGGAUGUUUUAUUUUCAAAAAAAAAGACCAGCUAGCCAAAAAGGCAAAAGAAGAAGCUCAGGAGAAAUUAUUAACAAAGGAAAGAGGAAGAGCAGGCCGUACCUUGCCGUAGCACCAACGCAGAUCCUGUGCGCGCGUAGCUCCUCUCGCUGCAAGCUCGCCGUGUUGACCGCCGGCUGGUGA
Molecule: ribosomal RNA, 1194 nt
Filed under: Triticum aestivum (bread wheat)
Lineage: Eukaryota; Viridiplantae; Streptophyta; Magnoliopsida; Poales; Poaceae
Description: partial small subunit ribosomal RNA
Source: RNAcentral